UUACGGCCACAUCAUGUUGAAACAGCGGUUCCCGUCAAAUCACCGAAGUUAAACAAGCUCGAACCUGCUUAGUACCUAGAUGGGUGACCACUUAGGAAUACCAGAUGCAGUAA
Acanthosepion pharaonis is the source of this 113-nucleotide non-coding RNA. NCBI's taxonomy places the organism in Eukaryota, Metazoa, Mollusca, Cephalopoda, Sepiida, Sepiidae. The record is from the annotation of a GenBank genome assembly.